RNAcentral lists this ribosomal RNA (739 nucleotides) under uncultured Alteromonadales bacterium. RNAcentral's name for it is "bacterial SSU rRNA". It matches the Rfam family "Bacterial small subunit ribosomal RNA", at positions 574 to 1312 of the family's 1533-position model. Lineage: Bacteria; Pseudomonadati; Pseudomonadota; Gammaproteobacteria; Alteromonadales. The record is from RNAcentral.
GGCGGCGUGUUAAGCAAGAUGUGAAAGCCCCGGGCUCAACCUGGGAAUUGCAUUUUGAACUGGCAUGCUAGAGUCCUGAAGAGGGUGGUAGAAUUUCCAGUGUAGCGGUGAAAUGCGUAGAUAUUGGAAGGAGUACCGGUGGCGAAGGCGGCCACCUGGUCAGAGACUGACGCUGAGGUACGAAAGCGUGGGGAGCAAACAGGAUUAGAUACCCUGGUAGUCCACGCCGUAAACGAUGUCAACUAGUUGUUCGUGUCAUUAAGACGUGAGUAACGCAGCUAACGCACUAAGUUGACCGCCUGGGGAGUACGGCCGCAAGGUUAAAACUCAAAUGAAUUGACGGGGGCCCGCACAAGCGGUGGAGCAUGUGGUUUAAUACGAUGCAACGCGAAGAACCUUACCAUCCCUUGACAUCCAGUGAAUUUUCCAGAGAUGGAUUAGUGCCUUCGGGAACACUGAGACAGGUGCUGCAUGGCUGUCGUCAGCUCGUGUUGUGAGAUGUUGGGUUAAGUCCCGCAACGAGCGCAACCCUUAUCCUUAGUUGCCAGCACGUAAUGGUGGGAACUCUGGGGAGACUGCCGGUGAUAAACCGGAGGAAGGUGUGGACGACGUCAAGUCAUCAUGGCCCUUACGGGAUGGGCUACACACGUGCUACAAUGGCGCAUACAAAGGGCAGCAAGCCAGCGAUGGUUGGCGAAUCUCAUAAAGUGCGUCGUAGUCCGGAUCGGAGUCUGCAACU